GAGCCUCUUGUGCAGGACAAGUGCCGGCCAGCGGAAAGCUUAUCUGCUUAUCUCCCUCCUGGAGAUGUCUUCCUGUUGUGUUCCACAGUCACGAGCUGUGCCCUGGAGAGAUAGGCACAGAAAUACACAGACGGGAACCAUGGUGGGUUUUCUAAAGGAAGAACAUAGUGGCCUAAAAGGAAGCUGGAAGUGCACCUAGUCUCCCUCAGCUAGUUUGCUAUGACUCAGCAGGUCCUGGAGGACCACAUGAAACUGUAGCACUGUUAUCGUGGACGUUAUCUCCGGGGAUGUUAUCACCUACUAGUAGCUGCUGCUUCACCAUGGUGUUCUAAGGGACAGGCUCUGAGAAAUCCUGGGAUCAGCCAUCUCUGUCUCCUUGGAUGUGAUAAUGUCUUCAAACAGACCCAAGUCUUUGGAGAAAAAGGGUAGUGCAGUUAUUACUGAGCAGUGAAUUAUCCACUUUCAAGAAACUAAUGAGAAGAACAGG
Ochotona curzoniae (black-lipped pika) is the source of this 487-nucleotide long non-coding RNA. RefSeq lists it as uncharacterized. The transcript has 4 exons. The record is from RefSeq and is a predicted model, not a curated record. Lineage: Eukaryota; Metazoa; Chordata; Mammalia; Lagomorpha; Ochotonidae.